UACGUAGGGGGCUAGCGUUGUCCGGAAUCAUUGGGCGUAAAGAGCGUGUAGGCGGUCCGGUAAGUCCGCUGUGAAAGUCAAGGGCUCAACCCUUGAAUGCCGGUUGAUACUGUCGGGCUAGAGUCCGGAAGAGGCGAGUGGAAUUCCCGGUGUAGCGGUGAAAUGCGCAGAUAUCGGGAGGAACACCAAUGGCGAAGGCAGCUCGCUGGGACGGUACUGACGCUGAGACGCGAAAGCGUGGGGAGCAAACAGG
This 253-nucleotide ribosomal RNA is filed under the name uncultured bacterium. RNAcentral's name for it is "partial 16S ribosomal RNA". It matches the Rfam family "Bacterial small subunit ribosomal RNA", at positions 524 to 776 of the family's 1533-position model. The record is from RNAcentral.